RNAcentral lists this long non-coding RNA (519 nucleotides) under Vigna radiata. Its description in RNAcentral is "long non-coding RNA (VRAD_LNC012782)". The record is from RNAcentral. Lineage: Eukaryota; Viridiplantae; Streptophyta; Magnoliopsida; Fabales; Fabaceae.
GCAACUGCUGAGUGAGGUGUCAGUUUUUUGCUGACUGGGAAUCCCUUUUCAGUUGGAAUUAGGANUUUUUNNAAAAUUUAGAAGGGCAAAGUGGGAAAAAAAGAAAGACUUUCUUCUUCCUCUGAAACCCUAAUUCCUCUACCAUUACCCAAACCCCAACCGCCGACCACCGACCACCGUCCAUCAUCUUCUUCCUCGCACCUCGCACCUCCAUCAUCGUCGCACCUCCAUCACCAUUGGACCUCCAUUACCCUCGCACCUCCAUCACCAUCGCACCUCCGUCACCAUCGCACCUUCAUCACCCUCGCACCUUCAUCAUCGUCGCAUCUUGCACUUGCAGAAAACAAGCCCAAAAGCAGAAACGGGAACCACCGUGGCAACCUCCAGCAUUUUCCAAUUCCACUUCGUGUGCCCUUUUCCCCAAAUCUGAACCCUAAUUUUGGGCAGAGUUGUUCUUCCUUGUCCCUAUUAGAUCCAUUAUUGUCGAUGUCCCUGUUAUAACAUCCUCUACCAUUACCC